This is a long non-coding RNA of Coturnix japonica (Japanese quail), 1662 nucleotides long. RefSeq lists it as uncharacterized. Lineage: Eukaryota; Metazoa; Chordata; Aves; Galliformes; Phasianidae. The record is from RefSeq and is a predicted model, not a curated record.
CAGCACAGAGGUGAAGGAGGUUAAUUAACUCAGAGAAAGGAAGCUGAGUGUCCCUACAUAACACCCCCUUCCAUAUGCAUUAGUUUUGAAGCCUGGAGACACUGUUUAACCAAACACAGCCCAUGACUUACUAACUUUCUGGUUUCCUCCCCCUCUUCCCUAUGUUACCAAUGCUGCAUAGAUGGAUGGGGCUGAAGCUAGUGAAAAGAUCACAGAAACAGCAGCCACUUCUGGGAAGAUAUCUCCUCAUGGACAAGUGAUCAGCCUUUCCCCCACAGUACUGGUGCUAGGCUGCAGAGAACAAGACACAGCACACUCUUCUGGCUGCUCCAUCUUGUGGCAGCCCUCACUGCACCCACUGUGAUGGGAAUUGCAGUGCCCAUCCCUCACUUCAAGCCUGCGUUCCUCCUCCCCACUCCCAGCUUCCAUCAGCAUCCUGCAAGUGCUGUCCUUCCCUUUUGGCCUACUGGCAAGGAACAAGGAACAAGUCCAUCCUGGCAUGUAACCACUGUGCAGAGCAGCUGCCAUCCCCAGCCCCAGCACCCUGCAGACAGACCUUCUUUGGAGCCAUGCAUGGUGUGAUUUUGGUUGCGGAGUUCAUCCUAGAAAUGCAUCGGUUUGGGAAUUCCUACAGCCACGUGGGACCUGAUUGGAUAAUGAAAAUCUCAUCUGCAGGCUGAAGCCAUCUGUGGACCAUUUUACUUGAAGCAGGGACAGAAACAUACUAAUUAAGACACAAUCAGUGACCAGCAAAUUACUUGUUUUUAAAGCCUAAUCCUUAUUUGCAUGAUAUCCCUACCUGCUUCUGAGCAAGCUGCAACAGUGCUGGCAGUGUUUAAGAGGAAUAGCGAGGAGGAGAUAGAAGAGAUGGGCAAGGUCCUUCUGCAGUCAGGCUGGUGGCUGCUGCAAUGUCCCUGCAAGUCUGCUGCAAGCAUCAGUACCCAGCAUUUCCUGGAAGGAUAUCUUGGAAUCUUGGAAGACAUCAUGGGUAUCUCUGAAGAUAAUAUUUCUUGGCAAGUAUCUUGGGAGAACUGCAGUAAAAUGAGCUGUAAAAAAACCCCUCCCCAGUGCUAGACCACCAUGUGUCUCAGAGAUACACUCCAGUGGGUCAAACUCUCACGCAGCUUUUGUUUGGCACACAGGCACAGAUGCUACAGUCGACCACCAGGGAGUGCCAAUUCCUUAAUUGCCCACACAGAUUUUCCUUACACUACCAUAGACAAGCAUGCAACCACAGUUUGUUUGGAUAUCCCGUCUGUUUUGUGGUAUGUUCCUAAAAAACACCAACUUGCUCACAGCUGAGAUGCUUGCUGACAGCUUGGAUCUAUUAAGGCUCAUGAGAUGUGGACGUUCCGCUAACGGGAUUCAAUUCAGCCAAGUUACCUCUAGUGUUCCCUACAGCUUGGUGAGUCAGCUCUGAAUUCCCAGUGAUCUGGGUUAAGAGAGAUGUCGAAUCCCAGAUGUUUCAACACCUGAGAAAUCUGUGUUUUACUGAUUAUUGAGCAAUACAUUUAAAAAGUGAAUGACAGACCUGGAAAGCAGCAUCUGCUUUUUCACUUCCUAACAUAUUUUCUUAGCCAAACUGAGGUUUUCAAGUUCACAGUGCAAAAUGAAACUGAAUUUCAUCCAAGUUUGCAGACUCGCUAAUGCUUUUCACAUUCA